RNAcentral lists this ribosomal RNA (468 nucleotides) under uncultured Verminephrobacter sp. Its description in RNAcentral is "bacterial SSU rRNA". It matches the Rfam family "Bacterial small subunit ribosomal RNA", at positions 917 to 1381 of the family's 1533-position model. Lineage: Bacteria; Pseudomonadati; Pseudomonadota; Betaproteobacteria; Burkholderiales; Comamonadaceae. The record is from RNAcentral.
GACGGGACCGCACAAGCGGUGGAUGAUGUGAUUAAUUCGAUGCAACGCGAAAACCUUACCUACCCUUGACAUGUCCGGAAUCCCGAAGAGAUUUGGGAGUGCUCGCAAGAGAACCGGAACACAGGUGCUGCAUGGCUGUCGUCAGCUCGUGUCGUGAGAUGUUGGGUUAAGUCCCGCAACGAGCGCAACCCUUGUCAUUAGUUGCCAUCAUUUGGUUGGGCACUCUAAUGAGACUGCCGGUGACAAACCCGGAGGAAGGUGGGGAUGACGUCAAGUCCUCAUGGCCCUUAUAGGUGGGGCUACACACGUCAUACAAUGGCCGGUACAGAGGGUAGCCAACCCGCGAGGGGGAGCCAAUCCCACAAAGCCGGUCGUAGUCCGGAUCGCAGUCUGCAACUCGACUGCGUGAAGUCGGAAUCGCUAGUAAUCGCGGAUCAGCAUGUCGCGGUGAAUACGUUCCCGGGUCUU